UCCAGACUCCUACGGGAGGCAGCAGUGGGGAAUAUUGCACAAUGGGGGAAACCCUGAUGCAGCGACGCCGCGUGAGCGAUGAAGUAUUUCGGUAUGUAAAGCUCUCUCAGCAGGGAAGAAAAUGACGGUACCUGACUAAGAAGCCCCGGCUAACUACGUGCCAGCAGCCGCGGUAAUACGUAGGGGGCAAGCGUUAUCCGGAUUUACUGGGUGUAAAGGGAGCGUAGACGGCAUGGCAAGUCAGAUGUGAAAGCCCGGGGCUCAACCCCGGGACUGCAUUUGAAACUGUCAGGCUGGAGUGCAGGAGAGGUAAGUGGAAUUCCUAGUGUAGCGGUGAAAUGCGUAGAUAUUAGGAGGAACACCAGUGGCGAAGGCGGCUUACUGGACUGUAACUGACGUUGAGGCUCGAAAGCGUGGGGAGCAAACAGGAUUAGAUACCUGGGUAA
RNAcentral lists this ribosomal RNA (446 nucleotides) under uncultured bacterium. Its description in RNAcentral is "bacterial SSU rRNA". It matches the Rfam family "Bacterial small subunit ribosomal RNA", at positions 330 to 793 of the family's 1533-position model. The record is from RNAcentral.